CAACAAGAGACUUCAUUGUUGUGAAUGAAGAGAAAAAGCCAAUGCUUCUUACUCUUUGGAAUGAGUUCGAACAAAAUCAGGGAACACAGUUUGCAAAUAGCAUUGGGAAUGCCAACGUUAUCAUUGGCAUGAAACUGAAAAUCACAACUUUUAAUUACUUAUCCCUGACAACCAAGCCUGGGAGUGGCCUUCUGAUUAAUCCUCCCACAUCUGAAGCAAAUGCACUCAAAG
This is a long non-coding RNA of Coffea eugenioides, 231 nucleotides long. RefSeq lists it as uncharacterized. The record is from RefSeq and is a predicted model, not a curated record. The transcript has 3 exons. NCBI's taxonomy places the organism in Eukaryota, Viridiplantae, Streptophyta, Magnoliopsida, Gentianales, Rubiaceae.